RNAcentral lists this ribosomal RNA (973 nucleotides) under Cryptomeigenia n. sp. JOS-2001. RNAcentral's name for it is "eukaryotic LSU rRNA". It matches the Rfam family "Eukaryotic large subunit ribosomal RNA", at positions 120 to 911 of the family's 3401-position model. The record is from RNAcentral. Lineage: Eukaryota; Metazoa; Arthropoda; Insecta; Diptera; Tachinidae.
CACUUUGUCUUUAUGGCAAAUGUGAGAUGCAGUGUAUGGAAUGUCAAAUUUCUAGUAUGAGAAAUUAACGAUUUAAGUCCUUCUUAAAUGAGGCCAUUUACCCAUAGAGGGUGCCAGGCCCGUAUAACGUUAAUGAUUACUAGAUGGCAUUUCCAAAGAGUCGUGUUGCUUGAUAGUGCAGCACUAAGUGGGUGGUAAACUCCAUCUAAAACUAAAUACAACCAUGAGACCGAUAGUAAACAAGUACCGUGAGGGAAAGUUGAAAAGAACUCUGAAUAGAGAGUUAAAUAGUACGUGAAACUGCUUAGAGGUUAAGCCCGAUGAACCUGAAUAUCCAAUAUGGAAAAUUCAUCAUUAUGAUUUUAAUGUUUUAUAAUAUUAAAAUAAUGGUGUGCAUUUUUUCUAUAGAAGACAUUGUAAUCUAUUAACAUAAAUAAUAUUUAUCAUAAGGUCAAUUGCAACAGUUUAUUUAAAUUAUUUUGCUUGCAAUUUAACAUAGAAUAAAUGCUUUUGAUUUGAUAAAGUGUUGAUAGAUUUAUUAUAUAUAGUACUUAAAUAUAUAUAUAUAUAUUUUAUAAUAGCAUAUUAAUUAUUAAUUUUUAUGUUUUUUAUAUGCACUUAUAUGAUUAACAAUGCGAAAGAUUCAGGAUACCUUCGGGACCCGUCUUGAAACACGGACCAAGGAGUCUAACAUAUUUGCAAGUUAUUGGGAAUAAAAACCUAAUAGCGAAAUUAACAUAACUAAUAAUGGGAUUAGUUUUUAGCCUAUUUAUAGUCUAUUAAUUCAAUCCCGGGGCGUUCUAUACAGUUAUGUAUAAUAAUAUUUAUAUUAUUUAUACCUCUAACUAGAACGUACCUUGAGCAUAUAUGCUGUGACCCGAAAGAUGGUGAACUAUACUUGAUCAGGUUGAAGUCAGGGGAAACCCUGAUGGAAGACCGAAACAGUUCUGACGUGCAAAUCGAUUGUCAGAAU